Molecule: ribosomal RNA, 253 nt
Filed under: uncultured bacterium
Lineage: Bacteria
Description: partial 16S ribosomal RNA
Rfam family: Bacterial small subunit ribosomal RNA
Source: RNAcentral
UACGGGGGGGGCAAGCGUUGUUCGGAAUUACUGGGCGUAAAGGGCUUGUAGGUGGCCAACUAAGUCAGACGUGAAAUCCCUCGGCUUAACCGGGGAACUGCGUCUGAUACUGGAUGGCUUGAGUGUGGGAGAGGGAUGCGGAAUUCCAGGUGUAGCGGUGAAAUGCGCAGAUAUCGGGAGGAACACCCGUGGCGAAGGCGGCUCUCUGGGACGGUACUGACGCUGAGACGCGAAAGCGUGGGGAGCGAACAGG